This is a regulatory RNA element of Sporomusa sp. An4, 113 nucleotides long. It matches the Rfam family "Molybdenum/Tungsten riboswitch aptamer (Moco RNA motif)". NCBI's taxonomy places the organism in Bacteria, Bacillati, Bacillota, Negativicutes, Selenomonadales, Sporomusaceae. The record is from Rfam.
UCAUAAGAUGAGUUCCAAGUCAUCAUUGCCCAUGUGGAAGUGAUGACCGAAGGGUAUGAAGAGCAAUUUUCAUGCCUGCCCGUAUUGUGCGAAGGAAGUCUGGUAAAUCAGGC